AUACACGAUGAAGGCAGCGUGACUACGUACCAAUGCUACCGAAACGGGACGACCCUCGAGCCACCUACAUCGCGCAAUUUCACAGUCCUGUGGAGAAGCGCGGACCAGCCCGAAAACGAAGCGCAAUGCGUGUGCACAUUCGUGCUUGACGGAGGCAGCGAGGAGCAAAGAAUCGAAGUCUCUGCCGAGUACAAUGAACAAGAGGACUACGGCAUUCUGUCAGGUCAUGGUGCAUCAGCGUACCUUUACCAACUACAGCCUCCGUUCCAAGGCGAAGCCUACUAUUUCAAGGAAGUGGCCGCUUCGACUGGCCAUACUGUCUUCAAGAUUUACGACACUGACGAGACCUGCACGAACGCCAAAGCCCUUCACGACCAGGUUUGCCCUGAACCAUGCGACCUGGAAUUCGUGCGGUGAAGAUUCUACCCUUACGUCAACAGCUACAAUGACCAAAAAUAAAAUAAAGAGGUGGUGGGAAAAUUCAUCAGCAGUACUUGUAUAACGUGGAAAACAUACUAAUAAAGUCGUCCAGAGCAUAUGCCAAGGGGUUAUUC
Long non-coding RNA from Rhipicephalus sanguineus (brown dog tick), 554 nucleotides. RefSeq lists it as uncharacterized. NCBI's taxonomy places the organism in Eukaryota, Metazoa, Arthropoda, Arachnida, Ixodida, Ixodidae. The record is from RefSeq and is a predicted model, not a curated record. The transcript is spliced from 4 exons.